This 253-nucleotide ribosomal RNA is filed under the name uncultured bacterium. RNAcentral's name for it is "partial 16S ribosomal RNA". It matches the Rfam family "Bacterial small subunit ribosomal RNA", at positions 524 to 776 of the family's 1533-position model. The record is from RNAcentral.
UACAGAGGGGGCAAGCGUUGUUCGGAAUUACUGGGCGUAAAGGGCGCGUAGGCGGCCUUCUAAGUCAGACGUGAAAUCCCUCGGCUCAACCGGGGAACUGCGUCUGAGACUGGAAGGCUUGAAUCCGGGAGAGGGAUGUGGAAUUCCAGGUGUAGCGGUGAAAUGCGCAGAUAUCAGGAAGAACACCGAUGGCGAAAGCAGCUCUCUGGGACGGUACUGACGCUGAGGCGCGAAAGCGUGGGGAGCGAACAGG